GCAUUCUUAGCUCAGUUGGAUAGAGCAGUAGCCUUCUAAGCUGAUGGUCAUGGGUUCGACCCCCGUAGAGUGUA
Molecule: transfer RNA, 74 nt
Filed under: Triparma laevis
Lineage: Eukaryota; Bolidophyceae; Parmales; Triparmaceae
Description: tRNA-Arg
Rfam family: tRNA
About the family: Transfer RNA (tRNA) molecules are approximately 80 nucleotides in length. Their secondary structure includes four short double-helical elements and three loops (D, anti-codon, and T loops).
Source: RNAcentral